Long non-coding RNA from Culex quinquefasciatus (southern house mosquito), 1059 nucleotides. RefSeq lists it as uncharacterized. The record is from RefSeq and is a predicted model, not a curated record. Lineage: Eukaryota; Metazoa; Arthropoda; Insecta; Diptera; Culicidae. The transcript is spliced from 3 exons.
ACAUCUGUUUUAGAUGAAUUGCAACCGAAAAUUUAACCAAACACAUUUUACUCUAAAAAAGGUUAAAUAUUUAUACGGAAGGUGUAAUUUUACCACGACUUCGAUGCAAUAUUGCACACAACAGUUUUCGAACAACAACAUCGAAAGACGGCGACUGCAAAUUUCAUAACUGUCAAAGUCUUUGUUUUGAUAUUUGCUAAAACGAUCGUCUCGCGUUGAUUCGUCGUGUUUAUUUAGGAAAAAUAAGUAAUCUGCAGUAGUUUUUCGGUGCUUCGGUGCGAAUGUUGUGAGUGAAGGCUGUGUUCCUCCAAAGCUCCAAGGGUCAGCAGAUUUCGGAAGAAGAACUGUUAAACUUUCGACAAGAGCCGCCUGCCCACGAUGGCAAGCGUUGUCAAAAGGAGGAGGACCAGAGACGGUGAACAUGGACAAACCAGUUGACAGAUUGCGGCGCAGGUGAACAACGAGAUCCGGAUUGACGGAAUUCCUCACUUUUUGCAGUGUCAAACCGGAAGUUCCAGCGAGAAUCGAUUCAAGCUCUGUAAAGUCCACCAAGAGGCGCCCAUUUUCACACACCCGCGUGUUCACGAUUCGGAAUCUGGUAUCAGGCACUGGCAUUUGCUCGACGAGUGGUUUCCGGCCGUGGAGGAAGGAGUCUUCCUGCUGUAGACAAACCCGGCAGUUCAUGCUGUCGCUACGAAUCUCAAUACCAACCGGCCGGGUUCCAGCCUCAUCCCUGGCUCGGUCUCAUUGAUCACACUGCUACGCUGAGUCGGCCACCGCCGGAAACCUGCUCCUCACCUUCUGCAAAGCUGACCGGAAAAAGAUCAUUGAAGGCGGACAAUAAUGCACCGUAAGUGAUUAUUUUUUAAUGAUUUAUUAUGAUAUUGUUAUAUUGUUACCGACGAAAAUCCCCUGGUGAAAAUAAAAAGAUUAGUUCGACAAUUCGUUUUGUUUAUAUUCUCUAUAAUUGAUGACAAUUCGAUACCUAUCCUCUCAUUCUCUUUUCCUGAAAUUAAACAUUUGUAGAUGUAAAAUUCACCAUUUAUAGGAAAAUUUCAU